Long non-coding RNA from Helianthus annuus (common sunflower), 223 nucleotides. RefSeq lists it as uncharacterized. The transcript has 2 exons. Lineage: Eukaryota; Viridiplantae; Streptophyta; Magnoliopsida; Asterales; Asteraceae. The record is from RefSeq and is a predicted model, not a curated record.
AAACGAAGCAAGAAUGGCGGAAAAGCAUAAUUCGGAUGCAAGGUACAUUUUGGAUGCCGGAAGACGAUCAAGCAUCAUCGAAGAAUCGAACACUAUAAAGAUUCAUGCUUCCGCACAUUGUAAAUCGAUAUUUUAAACGACGAAUUUUGUCACAGUAGGCGGUGUACUUGGAAAUUGUGAAAGUUAUAAUUAACUCGUAUUUUCUAAGGAUACUUAACGUUAA